GUCUCUGUAUCACAAUGGUUAGCGCAUUGGACUUUUAAUCCAAGGAUCAUGGGUUCAAAUCCCACCUGGGAUC
This is a non-coding RNA of Trichonephila clavipes, 73 nucleotides long. The record is from the annotation of a GenBank genome assembly. NCBI's taxonomy places the organism in Eukaryota, Metazoa, Arthropoda, Arachnida, Araneae, Nephilidae.